CUAGUAUUUUCAGAGUAGUACCAAGGUUGUAGCUUCAAGAGAGAUCAGUCAUUUUCCGAGUAGUACCGAGGUUGUAGCUUCAAGAGAGAUUGAUUGAGUCAUGGCAAACCCAACUGAAACACAAUCAACAGAAAACUACAAAAGUUCUGAUGAUGAAUCAGAAAGUG
Molecule: long non-coding RNA, 167 nt
Organism: Mytilus californianus (California mussel)
Lineage: Eukaryota; Metazoa; Mollusca; Bivalvia; Mytilida; Mytilidae
Exons: 3
Source: RefSeq, a predicted model, not a curated record